RNAcentral lists this long non-coding RNA (1706 nucleotides) under Paramuricea clavata. Lineage: Eukaryota; Metazoa; Cnidaria; Anthozoa; Malacalcyonacea; Plexauridae. The record is from RNAcentral.
GUUUUCAUAUUCGGAAAGAUCAGGCUUUUAGCUAUUGAAUGACAUGCUUUUCAUGACAAGUGGAGAAAAAAUAAGCAUGUAGGAGGCCGAUUAAAAAUGUUAGUCAAAAUCGCAUAUUUUCACCUCUGUGCCUCAUUAAAACAAUACAUAACAAAAGAAAAAGCAAUUAAUCACGAACGUGUCGUAGCUUACCUAAGAUUUAUUCCCACUUAAUAAUUAUUAUGAAUAUGUGUGCAGUUUAAUGAAGUGAAAUUCAUCAACUUAAGUCCUAAAGGGGGUUCAUUUUCAAUGGUUUUAGACCCAACUCUCAACGGUGAAAAUAUGUGAUUCUGACUAACAUUUUUUAUCGGAUUCGUAUUUGCUCAUUUUUUAUCCAUUUGGCAUGAAGAAGAUAUCAUUCAACAGCUAAAAGCAUGAUCUUUCCGAAUGUGAAAAAAUCUCGUUCAUACGCAGAGUAAUUAGAUCAAUAGCGCGCUGAAGUUCGAUUACAUUUUUAUUAUAUCCCCAAUUAUAUCCCCAAUUCUAUAAUACUUUACCAGCGAGCCUCACAUUUUUAUUAAUAAUCUAUCUGCUCCUUUAAAUUGGUUUGAUUUUCUUUUUGCCUUAAAAGUCCAACAAUACAGUAGCCUGCAUGCAUUUAGGAAAACUGCAUAAAAAGGUUUCAGUAUGAAAGAGCUUUGUGCAGACUGCAGACAUUUACAUAUGGAUUUACUGUGCAUACAUAUUUAAACCUUUGCACACUCAAUGAAUUGUGUGGUUGAUAUGAAUUGUGUGGUUGAUAUGAAUUGUGUGGUUGAUUCUAAGGGCCUGUUCAUAUAAGCGGCUGGCCUGGUCUGGUAGCCGGCAGACUCGCAAGUGGCGAGAUUUUGCCUUGUAUUAUGUUUUUUUUUAUAUUUUUGAGAUUUGAUUUGCAUGAGAACCUGGCCCGGUUUGCCAGACUCGCAUUUAUGUGAGGCGAGAUCCUUGCCUUCCUAGGCUCGUAUGAACACACUUGACACUUGAUAGUGGUUAACCCAGGAAACCGGGCUGCCUGCCUCGUGUGAAACAAAUAACAACUUGAUCCGGCAAAAGCGAACUAGCCUGGUUUAACAGGCCAGCCCGGCUCAUAUGACAGGCCCUAAUUCUCUAUCUUGAAUAAAACUUGUAUUAUGAAGGUUGUUCCAACGAGUCUGAUACAGUCGUGAUACAACAAUAUUGUUACGACCUUGUGUCGUCAAACUUUUAAUAUUCUUGUUAUAUCAUGACUGUAUCAGACUUCUUCAAAACAACCUUGUAACAAGUCUAUAGGACCAUUAGGAAAGUGAUAGGGGGGGGGGGGACAUUUUCGACUUGGGCGAAUAUUUUUUUAAAAUUUUUUGCUUGUGUCGAUAUAAUAUUAUAUAAUCCCUUGCACGAAUUUUUUUUUCAAAUUUUUUUGGUGCACAAAGUUUUUUUCUUUCUGUUUUCCCUGCUCAAUUUUUAUUUUCGCUUCCCCCCCCCAUCACUUUUCUAAUGGUCCGCCCCCUAUAGGAACACAACCUUUACUGAAAAAUUGUUUUCACCCCCCCCCCGUCGCCAAAAAAAUUCCGGUCAGUGUACCAUUUUAGGGGUCAAAAAUUUUUUCCGGACAUACAAAAAUUUUCCGUGAAGCCAAAAAAUUUUCCGGAUAUCUUAAAUUUUCGCCAUUUCUUCAAAAUAUUUUUCUAAAUUCCAAAAAUUUCCCAAAA